CCUACGGGGGGCAGCAGUGGGGAAUAUUGCACAAUGGGGGGAACUCUGAUGCAGCGACGCCGCGUGAGUGAAGAAGUAUUUCGGUAUGUAAAGCUCUAUCAGCAGGGAAGAAAGUGACGGUACCUGAAAAAGAAGCCCCGGCUAAAUACGUGCCAGCCGCCGCGGUAAUUCGUAGGGAGCAAGCGUUAUCCGGAUUUACUGGGUGUAAAGGGAGAGUAGGUGGCAGAGCAAGUCCGAAGUGAAAACCCAAAGCUCAACUAUGGGAAUGCUUUGGAAACUGCGAUGCUAGAGUGCAGGAGAGGAAAGUGGAAUUCGUAGUGUAGCGGUGAAAUGCGUAGAUAUUAGGAGGAACACCAGUGGCGAAGGCGGCUUGCUGGACUGUAACUGACACUGAGGCUCGAAAGCGUGGGGAGCAAACAGGAUUAGAUACCCCAGUAGUC
Molecule: ribosomal RNA, 440 nt
Filed under: uncultured bacterium
Lineage: Bacteria
Description: partial 16S ribosomal RNA
Rfam family: Bacterial small subunit ribosomal RNA
Source: RNAcentral